Molecule: ribosomal RNA, 465 nt
Filed under: uncultured Klebsiella sp.
Lineage: Bacteria; Pseudomonadati; Pseudomonadota; Gammaproteobacteria; Enterobacterales; Enterobacteriaceae
Description: bacterial SSU rRNA
Rfam family: Bacterial small subunit ribosomal RNA
Source: RNAcentral
CCUACGGGGGGCAGCAGUGGGGAAUAUUGCACAAUGGGCGCAAGCCUGAUGCAGCCAUGCCGCGUGUGUGAAGAAGGCCUUCGGGUUGUAAAGCACUUUCAGCGGGGAGGAAGGCGUUAAGGUUAAUAACCUUGUCGAUUGACGUUACCCGCAGAAGGAGCACCGGCUAACUCCGUGCCAGCAGCCGCGGUAAUACGGAGGGUGCAAGCGUUAAUCGGAAUUACUGGGCGUAAAGCGCACGCAGGCGGUCUGUCAAGUCGGAUGUGAAAUCCCCGGGCUCAACCUGGGAACUGCAUUCGAAACUGGCAGGCUAGAGUCUUGUAGAGGGGGGUAGAAUUCCAGGUGUAGCGGUGUAAUGCGUAGAGAUCUGGAGGAAUACCGGUGGCGAAGGCGGCCCCCUGGACAAAGACUGACGCUCAGGUGCGAAAGCGUGGGGAGCAAACAGGAUUAGAUACCCUUGUAGUC